Microtus oregoni (creeping vole) is the source of this 255-nucleotide long non-coding RNA. RefSeq lists it as uncharacterized. NCBI's taxonomy places the organism in Eukaryota, Metazoa, Chordata, Mammalia, Rodentia, Cricetidae. The record is from RefSeq and is a predicted model, not a curated record. The transcript has 3 exons.
GGGAAUCUUGACAUUCCGGGAUGUGGCAAUUGAUUUCUCUCCAGAUGAGUGGGACUGCCUCGACUUUGCACAGAGGGCUUUGUACAGGGAAAUCAUGUUGGGGAACUACAGUAACAUGGUCUCUGUGGGUAUUUCAGUGUCAAAACCAGACCUGAUCAGCUCCCUUGAACAAAGCAAAGAGCCCUGGAAUGUGAACACAGGAAAGAAAGAAGGCAAUGAAAAAGCAUGAACAGAAACAAGAGAAGCAUUAUAUAA